Molecule: ribosomal RNA, 468 nt
Filed under: uncultured bacterium
Lineage: Bacteria
Description: partial 16S ribosomal RNA
Rfam family: Bacterial small subunit ribosomal RNA
Source: RNAcentral
GACGAACGCUGGCGGCGUGCUUAACACAUGCAAGUCGAACGGAAAGGCCCUGCUUUUGUGGGGUGCUCGAGUGGCGAACGGGUGAGUAACACGUGAGUAACCUGCCCUUGACUUUGGGAUAACUUCAGGAAACUGGGGCUAAUACCGGAUAGUAGCUCCUGCUGCUUGGUGGGGGUUGGAAAGUUUCGGCGGUUGGGGAUGGACUCGCGGCUUAUCAGCUUGUUGGUGGGGUAGUGGCUUACCAAGGCUUUGACGGGUAGCCGGCCUGAGAGGGUGACCGGCCACAUUGGGACUGAGAUACGGCCCAGACUCCUACGGGAGGCAGCAGUGGGGAAUAUUGCACAAUGGGCGGAAGCCUGAUGCAGCAACGCCGCGUGCGGGAUGACGGCCUUCGGGUUGUAAACCGCUUUCGCCUGUGACGAAGCGUGAGUGACGGUAAUGGGUAAAGAAGCACCGGCUAACUACGUG